This 497-nucleotide ribosomal RNA is filed under the name uncultured bacterium. RNAcentral describes it as "partial 16S ribosomal RNA". It matches the Rfam family "Bacterial small subunit ribosomal RNA", at positions 28 to 507 of the family's 1533-position model. The record is from RNAcentral.
GAUGAACGCUGGCGGCGUGCCUAAUACAUGCAAGUCGAGCGAACAGACCAGGAGCUUGCUCCUCUGACGUUAGCGGCGGUCGGGAGAGUAACACGUGGAUAACCUACCUAUAAGACUGUGAUAGCAUCAGCAAACCUGAGCUAAUAGCGGAUAAUAUAUUGCACCGCAAUUUUCACUAGUUAAAGUCGGUUUUUCUGUGACUUAUAGCUUGCUCCGCGCCGCAUUAGCUGGUUGGUAAGGUAAUGGCUUACCAAGGCAACGAUGCGUAGCCGACCUCAACGGGUGGUUGGAUAGCCUGGAUCUGAGAAACGGCCCCGACUCCGACGGUAGGACGCAGUAGGGACUCUUACGCAAGGGGCGAAAGGGUGACGGUGCAAAGUCGCGUGAGUGAUGAAGGUCUUAGGAUCGUAAAGCUCUGUUAGCAGGGAAGAAGAAAUGUGUAAGUAACUAUGCACGUCUUGACGGUACCUAAUGAGAAAGCCACGGCUAACUACGUG